UUUGAUCUUGGUUCAGAUUGAAUGCUGACGGCGUGGAUGAGGCAUGCAAGUCGAACGAGGUAGCUCGCUACCUAGUGGCGGAAGGGUUAGUAAUACAUGAACAACCUACCUUUUACUUUGGGAUAACGUCUGGUAACGGGCGCUAAUACCGGAUGAAGUUAUUUUAUGGCAUCAUAGAAUAAUAAAAGCGGGGGACCUUCGGGCCUCGCGGUAGAAGAGGGGUUCAUGGGAUAUCAGCUAGUUGGUAAGGUAAAAGCUUACCAAGGCAAAGACGUCUAGGCGGAUUGAGAGAUUGACCGCCAACACUGGGACUGAGACACUGCCCAGACUCCUACGGGAGGCUGCAGUCGAGAAUCUUUCGCAAUGGGCGAAAGCCUGACGAAGCGACGCCGUGUGAACGAAGAAGGCCUUCGGGUUGUAAAGUUCUUUCGCUUGGGAACAAGAGAUGUACAAUAAUAUUGUACAGAUUUGAGGGUACCAGGUAAAGAAGCACCGGCUAACUCCGUGCCAGCAGCUGCGGUAAUACGGAGGGUGCAAGCAUCAAUCGGAAUUAUUGGGCGUAAAGGGCGUGUAGGCGGCUAUUAAAGUUAAGUGUGAAAUUUCAGGGCUUAACCCUGAAACGGCAUUUAAAACUAACUAGCUAGAGUGUAGGCGGAGAAAAUGGAAUUUCACAUGUAGCGGUGAAAUGCGUAGAUAUGUGAAGGAACACCGGUGGCGAAAGCGGUUUUCUAGCUUACAACUGACGCUGAGGCGCGAAAGCAAGGGGAGCAAACAGGAUUAGAUACCCUGGUAGUCCUUGCCGUAAACGAUGCAUACUUGGUGUAGCAUUUUAUAAUGUUGUGCCGGAGCUAACGUGAUAAGUAUGCCGCCUGAGGAGUACAUUCGCAAGGAUGAAACUCAAAAGAAUUGACGGGGACCCGCACAAGCAGUGGAGCAUGUGGUUUAAUUCGAUGCAACGCGUAGAACCUUACCCAGACUUGACAUGCAGAGGAAUAUAGUAGAAAUAUUAUAGCUUUUCGGAGCCUCUGUGCAGGUGCUGCAUGGCUGUCGUCAGCUCGUGCCGUGAGGUGUUGGGUUAAGUCCCGCAACGAGCGCAACCCUUAUCAUUAGUUGCCAACAUUUAAGGUGGGGACUCUAAUGAGACUGCCUGGGUUAACCAGGAGGAAGGUGAGGAUGACGUCAAGUCCGCAUGGCCCUUAUGUCUGGGGCUACACACGUGCUACAAUGGCUAAUACAGAAGGAAGCAAAGCCGAGAGGUGGAGCAAAACCUAGAAAGUUAGUCUCAGUUCGGAUUGUAGUCUGCAACUCGACUACAUGAAGUUGGAAUUGCUAGUAAUGGCGCGUCAGCUACAGCGCCGUGAAUACGUUCUCGGGUCUUGUACACACCGCCCGUCACAUCAUGGGAGUUUGUUUUGCCCGAAGGUAUUGACUCAACCUGCAAAGGGGAGAGGUAACU
This 1456-nucleotide ribosomal RNA is filed under the name metagenome. RNAcentral describes it as "bacterial SSU rRNA". It matches the Rfam family "Bacterial small subunit ribosomal RNA". The record is from RNAcentral.